RNAcentral lists this ribosomal RNA (305 nucleotides) under uncultured bacterium. Its description in RNAcentral is "bacterial SSU rRNA". It matches the Rfam family "Bacterial small subunit ribosomal RNA", at positions 333 to 655 of the family's 1533-position model. The record is from RNAcentral.
GUAGCCCUACGGGGCGCAGCAGUGGGGAAUAUUGCACAAUGGGGGAAACCCUGAUGCAGCAACGCCGCGUGAGUGAAGAAGUCAUUCGUGAUGUAAAGCUCUAUCAGCAGGGAAGAAAAUGACGGUACCUGAGUAAGAAGCCCCGGCUAACUACGUGCCAGCAGCCGCGGUAAUACGUAGGGGGCAAGCGUUAUCCGGAAUUACUGGGGGUAAAGGGAGCAUAGACGGUAAUGCAAGUCUGGAGUGAAAGGCGGGGGCCCAACCCCCGGACUGCUCUGGAAACUGUGUAACUGGAGUGCAGGAGA